Molecule: ribosomal RNA, 253 nt
Filed under: uncultured bacterium
Lineage: Bacteria
Description: partial 16S ribosomal RNA
Rfam family: Bacterial small subunit ribosomal RNA
Source: RNAcentral
UACGGAGGGUGCGAGCGUUGUCCGGAAUCACUGGGCGUAAAGGGCGCGUAGGCGGCCUGAUAAGUAGGGGGUGAAAUCCUGCGGCUUAACCGCAGGGCUGCCUUCUAAACUGUCAGGCUCGAGCACAGUAGAGGCAGGUGGAAUUCCCGGUGUAGCGGUGGAAUGCGUAGAGAUCGGGAAGGACAUCAGUGGCGAAGGCGGCCUGCUGGGCUGUUGCUGACGCUGAGGCGCGACAGCGUGGGGAGCAAACAGG